GAACGCUGGCGGCGUGCUUAACACCUGCAAGUCGAACGGAAAGGCCCUGCUUUUGUGGGGUGCUCGAGUGGCGAACGGGUGAGUAACACGUGAGUAACCUGCCCUUGACUUUGGGAUAACUUCAGGAAACUGGGGCUAAUACCGGAUAGGAGCUCCUGCUGCAUGGUGGGGGUUGGAAAGUUUCGGCGGGUGGGGAUGGACUCGCGGCUUAUCAGCUUGUUGGUGGGGUAGUGGCUUACCAAGGCUUUGACGGGUAGCCGGCCUGAGAGGGUGACCGGCCACAUUGGGACUGAGAUACGGCCCAGACUCCUACGGGAGGCAGCAGUGGGGAAUAUUGCACAAUGGGCGGAAGCCUGAUGCAGCAACGCCGCGUGCGGGAUGACGGCCUUCGGGUUGUAAACCGCUUUCGCCUGUGACGAAGCGUGAGUGACGGUAAUGGGUAAAGAAGCACCGGCUAACUACGUG
Molecule: ribosomal RNA, 465 nt
Filed under: uncultured bacterium
Lineage: Bacteria
Description: partial 16S ribosomal RNA
Rfam family: Bacterial small subunit ribosomal RNA
Source: RNAcentral